GACUACAGUGGCACAAUUGGCUAGCGCGUGAGACUUUUAAGCAGCUCUGCUAUAAAGAUUAUCUCAAGGUUGAGAGUUCGAGCCUCUCCGUACGUCG
RNAcentral lists this transfer RNA (97 nucleotides) under Friedmanniomyces endolithicus. RNAcentral describes it as "tRNA-Lys". The stretch from base 8 to 89 matches the Rfam family "tRNA", at positions 7 to 64 of the family's 71-position model. Rfam says of the family: Transfer RNA (tRNA) molecules are approximately 80 nucleotides in length. Their secondary structure includes four short double-helical elements and three loops (D, anti-codon, and T loops). The record is from RNAcentral. Lineage: Eukaryota; Fungi; Ascomycota; Dothideomycetes; Mycosphaerellales; Teratosphaeriaceae.